GGGCUUCUAACAAAUGCUCUUCUGAUGGUAACAUUGAUUGAAUCAGUUCCAGCCUCUGGGAUUCUCCAUGACAUGAUGUACAUUAAAGUACUUGAGCAACAAUAAAAUCCCAUACAAUUGUUAGAUACCAUUGUGUUAUCAGUACAGUUUUAUAAUUGUGGACCUGAAAACUAAGUGGUCAGAGGAAUGUCAACAAGCAUAAUUAGAUUUUUACCCUGUGUGAUUCCAGGGGCCAAGCAAAUAAUGGUGAGGCGUGAACAUCUGAGCAAGUCCCCUCAAGAAAACAGUCAGCCCUUACAAUUGUAUCUUGUUAUAAAAUUCAUCUGUAAAAGAAACUGGUCAGAAAAGCAUUUGGAACAGGAAAAUGCCCAACCAAGCACACUGGAGCUUUGCUUUUCUGUGAUGUUAAACCAGUCAAAGCCGGCCAUUGUGCGUGCUUGAC
This 442-nucleotide long non-coding RNA is filed under the name Bos taurus (domestic cattle). RNAcentral's name for it is "long non-coding RNA NONBTAT026972". The record is from RNAcentral. Lineage: Eukaryota; Metazoa; Chordata; Mammalia; Artiodactyla; Bovidae.